RNAcentral lists this ribosomal RNA (360 nucleotides) under uncultured bacterium. Its description in RNAcentral is "bacterial SSU rRNA". It matches the Rfam family "Bacterial small subunit ribosomal RNA", at positions 28 to 411 of the family's 1533-position model. The record is from RNAcentral.
GAUGAACGCUAGCGGUAUGCUUAACACAUGCAAGUCGUACGGGAGUUUUUAACUCAAGUGGCGGACGGGUGAGUAACACGUGAGAAUUUACCUUUAGGAGGGGAUAACAAUUGGAAACGAUUGCUAAUACCCCAUAUGCUUUUUAAGUUGAAACGGAUUUAUUCGCCUAAAGAAAAGCUCGCGGCUGAUUAGCUAGUUGGUAAGGUAAUGGCUUACCAAGGCGACGAUCAGUAUCUGGUUUGAGAGGAUGAUCAGACACACUGGAACUGAGACACGGUCCAGACUCCUACGGGAGGCAGCAGUGGGGAAUAUUGGUCAAUGGGCGCAAGCCUGAACCAGCCAUGCCGCGUGACAGGAAGA